AGAGUUUGAUCCUGGCUCAGGAUGAACGCUGGCGGCGUGCCUAACACAUGCAAGUCGAGCGGGAAAUCCGUGACGGAUCCUUCGGGUGACGGAUCGGAUGGAGAGCGGCGGACGGGUGAGUAACGCGUAGGUAACCUGCCCUGUACAGAGGGAUAGCCACUGGAAACGGUGAUUAAUACCUCAUAAUGCCGGAUCUGCACAUGCAGGACCGGUCAAAGUUUUUUCGGUACAGGAUGGACCUGCGUCUGAUUAGCUAGUUGGUGGGGUAACGGCUCACCAAGGCGACGAUCAGUAGCCGACCUGAGAGGGUGAUCGGCCACAUUGGAACUGAGACACGGUCCAAACUCCUACGGGAGGCAGCAGUGGGGAAUAUUGCACAAUGGGGGAAACCCUGAUGCAGCAACGCCGCGUGAACGAAGAAGGCUCUUGGGUCGUAAAGUUCUGUUCUGAGGGAAGAAGAAAGUGACGGUACCUCAGGAGAAAGCCCCGGCUAACUACGUGCCAGCAGCCGCGGUAAUACGUAGGGGGCAAGCGUUGUCCGGAAUUAUUGGGCGUAAAGAGUACGUAGGCGGUCUGGUAAGCGCAAGGUGAAAGGCAUAGGCUCAACCAAUGUCAGCCUUGCGAACUGUCAGACUUGAGUGCAGGAGGGGAAAGUGGAAUUCCUAGUGUAGCGGUGAAAUGCGUAGAUAUUAGGAGGAACACCAGUGGCGAAGGCGACUUUCUGGACUGUAACUGACGCUGAGGUACGAAAGCGUGGGGAGCAAACAGGAUUAGAUACCCUGGUAGUCCACGCCGUAAACGAUGAGCACUAGGUGUCGGGGCCGCAGGGCUUCGGUGCCGCAGUUAACGCAUUAAGUGCUCCGCCUGGGGAGUACGCACGCAAGUGUGAAACUCAAAGGAA
Molecule: ribosomal RNA, 901 nt
Filed under: human gut metagenome
Description: bacterial SSU rRNA
Rfam family: Bacterial small subunit ribosomal RNA
Source: RNAcentral